Ceratotherium simum simum (southern white rhinoceros) is the source of this 101-nucleotide non-coding RNA. The record is from RefSeq and is a predicted model, not a curated record. NCBI's taxonomy places the organism in Eukaryota, Metazoa, Chordata, Mammalia, Perissodactyla, Rhinocerotidae.
GAUGGACGAGACAGAAUGGAGACCAUCCAGUGGCUCCUGGCUGCAGCUGGAGUAGAGUUUGAAGAGAAAUUUAUAGAAACUUCGAAAGACUUGGAAAAGCU